RNAcentral lists this ribosomal RNA (459 nucleotides) under uncultured bacterium. RNAcentral describes it as "partial 16S ribosomal RNA". It matches the Rfam family "Bacterial small subunit ribosomal RNA", at positions 338 to 795 of the family's 1533-position model. The record is from RNAcentral.
CCUACGGGAGGCAGCAGUGAGGAAUAUUGGUCAAUGGGCGCGAGCCUGAACCAGCCAAGUCGCGUGAGGGAAGACGGUCCUAUGGAUUGUAAACCUCUUUUGUCGGGGAGCAAAAGACGCCACGCGUGGCGUUCCGAGAGUACCCGACGAAAAAGCAUCGGCUAACUCCGUGCCAGCAGCCGCGGUAAUACGGAGGAUGCGAGUGUUAUCCGGAUUUAGUGGGUUUAAAGGGUGCGCAGGCGGAAGAGCAAGUCAGCGGUAAAAUUGAGAGGCUCAACCUCUUCGAGCCGUGGAAACUGGUUUUCUUGAGUGAGCGAGAAGUAUGCGGAAUGCGUGGUGUAGCGGUGAAAUGCAUAGAUAUCACGCAGAACUCCGAUUGCGAAGGCAGCAUACCGGCGCUCAACUGACGCUCAUGCACGAAAGUGUGGGUAUCGAACAGGAUUAGAUACCCCAGUAGUC